RNAcentral lists this long non-coding RNA (1345 nucleotides) under Struthio camelus australis. Its description in RNAcentral is "lncRNA (ENSSCUG00000016700.1)". Lineage: Eukaryota; Metazoa; Chordata; Aves; Struthioniformes; Struthionidae. The record is from RNAcentral.
GGGGAGUUGAAUUUAGAUACGAACAAAGACUCCUUUAAUACUGUUAGAGAGAGAAAUACUCCUGAGAUUUGUCUCACAGGCAAUUUUAAUUUCCCAGAAACAGUUUGAAAACUAUCUGCAGUGGUUGGCCAUAGGUGCGACAGCCGAAAGAUCUGUGAAACCAAGCAGUCAGUGAGCCGACAGAGGGUGAUGCUGCUUAACGUUUUGUUUCUGUGACUAGUGACAAUAGCACAGAGGAGCUGGUUAUACAAGAUAACCGCGACUGACCAAAUGAAGAUGAUAUAGUCCAUGUGAGACAGAACGAAGGAAUGGGGAUAAACGCACAGGCAGAAGAACUCCGCCAGCCUAAGGAGCAGUUCCCCCCUCCUCAAACCCCACGCCCACUGUAUCAUCGGGAUCAGAUGAAGAGCUGGCUGCCACCGUGCAGCAGCAGGUGGCCUCACUUCACGGAUCUCUGGAGAAUCAACCCCCUUCCUCAGGAUACCAAGUGUAAGGAGCAGCCUGGAGGGAAGGAAGGAGUUCCCCAGCCGCCUCUGGACUAAAGAGCCACCGGACAGAGAAAACUGCUGACUGACAGUGUCGCCAUUCACGUAAGCAUCUGGUUUAUCUCCAGGUUCUUAUUCUUUGUUAUAUUAACAUAUUCUAUGUUAACUUUGAUUUCUUGGCAAACUGGUGGAAGUGGAAACGGAAAAACAUGAAUUUGUAGGCAGUCUGCAAGCAGGACCUACAUAUCUGACUCUGGCUGUCUUGUGCUCUGUAAAGCUGCUGUGAGCAAAGUUGAAAAACCACCUGUGUAGAAACUGGUAGUGCAACGUGUGAUGUAACGUGUGAGCAUGAUUACAGGGUUGGGUCAGGGAAACCACCACGAGCGAGGGGGAAGCAGUAUGAAAGGAGGAAGCAGAAGCUGAAACAUACCUCUAAAAGAGCAGCGGAGAAAUGGUUGAAGAAACGACAGUCUAAAAUUAAAUCUGGAAGGAAACUUGUGAUCUCUGCAACACCACUGUGUCAGAAAUCUUCAGAAACUGGCAACAUGGUCCUUUGCUGGAUUAGUGAAGGAUUCUUUUGCAUCUACCUUUUGCAUAACUUAGCAAUGCUGUAAAUGCAGAAAACGCAUUGCCGAGAGAAGCGAUACUCCCAGUCACACUUCUCUAGAGAGCUGGGAACCUUUAAACAGCACUCUGGGCAGAGAGUAGUUAUUUCCCAUUCCCCCUCAUUAAGAGAAGCAUAGUUACAGCCUAGCAGUGCCACAACUUGUGCUGCACUGUAUAAGCACCAGGGUGUUUACACACCAUCAUCAGAAACAGCCGUACUCUGUGUGCUGGGAGCAGUCUGCCAGGAACCUCUC